UUCUGUAAAUCACCCAGCCAGAAAAAUGUCCUAACUAUUAAAGAAGGAAAAGUGAAAUGUGAGUGUUCAUCUAGUGGCUCUCCUGCAUACAUAUGUUUUCUUCCUGGGUACCUUGUUUGUAAAUGCCGCUAAGAAUGGCACAUGGAUGACUGUAAAACUGCUUACUACAAAUGUCCGUGGUGUAAUUUGAAGGCAUGCCGUUUUGUACAAAGUAUUCCCCAAAGACAUGAUCCUCUGACCCUUGGAAGUUUUUCCUGUUUUAAUGUUUGCUUUUUUUAUCUGUGAGUAUUUGGCUCUGUUUCUUUCCAUACACUUUGGCAUGGUCUCUGUUAGAAUAACAUGGAGUUUAUGCUUAGCUUGAGGUCACACUGACUAUCAAACUGCAAAUCAACGGGGCAAGCAAAAUAGCUGUUCAGCCCUGCUUUCCAGAGAAGAGCAGCAAGAGCAGAAACUUCAUGUUCCAUGGGCAGCAAAUAGGGACAUGGAUGAAUCUGGAGAACAUUAUCCUCAGCAAACUGACACAAGAACAGAAAAUGAAACACCACAUAUUCUCACUCAUAGCUUGUGGAGCAUGUCCAACACACCUUGCAUACGGAAUGACAACAUCUUAUACAGGGUAGCAGCAAGGGAGUGGACCUGUACGCGGGAGAUAACUAAGGCAAGUAAAUGAUAAACAUGGUGAUAGAACUGUCAUUACUUUCCUCAAAUGGAAGAUAAAUCUAUAAGUGCAAAUGUCAUAUGUUGAAUAAGUGAACAAUCAUUCUGUCAUCUAUCACUGCCAAUGCUUUCCAGCUUAUCUGGAUUUUAUUACAGCUGAAUCCAUCUUAUAAGUUAUAUAGCAGUUUCUUAAAGAUGAAAU
Callithrix jacchus (white-tufted-ear marmoset) is the source of this 859-nucleotide non-coding RNA. The record is from RefSeq and is a predicted model, not a curated record. NCBI's taxonomy places the organism in Eukaryota, Metazoa, Chordata, Mammalia, Primates, Cebidae.